This 229-nucleotide ribosomal RNA is filed under the name uncultured bacterium. RNAcentral's name for it is "partial 16S ribosomal RNA". It matches the Rfam family "Bacterial small subunit ribosomal RNA", at positions 568 to 796 of the family's 1533-position model. The record is from RNAcentral.
UGCGCAGGCGGGCUUGUAAGUCAGUGGUGAAAUUUUGCGGCUUAACCGUAAAACUGCCAUUGAUACUGCAAGUCUUGAAUAUGGUUGAGGUAGGCGGAAUGUGUUGUGUAGCGGUGAAAUGCAUAGAUAUGACACAGAACGCUGAUUGCGAAGGCAGCUUACUAAGCCAUGAUUGACGCUGAGGCACGAAAGCGUGGGGAGCGAACAGGAUUAGAUACCCUGGUAGUCC